This is a long non-coding RNA of Melopsittacus undulatus (budgerigar), 1242 nucleotides long. NCBI's taxonomy places the organism in Eukaryota, Metazoa, Chordata, Aves, Psittaciformes, Psittaculidae. The record is from Ensembl.
CCAAUUUGAAGGGCUCUGUUGUGCAGUGUAGUGAUAGCAUGGGGCAGUGGAAGCUUAAGUUAAAACACUGCAAUCACAGAGCAUACCAAGGGUGGGUUGGUUAGUAAAGAGUGGCUGUAUCUUUGACUGAAGCACAGAGGAAGAGAGGAAAGAAGUGGGCGAGCAUUCGGGAAUGCAAGGCUUUCUCCUUUUGCUGUUUUUAAAAAGAAAUUCUGGAAACAAAUUUGUGUUGUUCCUAAAAUCAGGAUGAUGAAGCUGUUCUGUAUUAAAAACCUGCCUUACUUCAUUAUAUUCUAGGGUUUUAAUAGCUGCUACUUUUCCACUGAGCUGUUCCUGGUUACAUGCUACUGUGAACAUGCCUGUCAAGCAGAAUGGUGUUUGGACCAAUAUACACAUAGUUACAAAAUUAAGUGCAACAAAACAGCUCCAGGAUAUAUUAUCCAUUCUGGAGAUAACACUGCAUCCCCCCUUAACUUGCAAUGCUUACCUCAUCUUCAUAGGGAUGACUGUAUGCUGACAAGGAAACAGGUUUUUGAAUGAGCUACCAGAAUACCAUUGCAAAGCUUACUGUAACUCUAAAAGAAAAUCUCUUGUACUGAUUGUACAUCUCUGUCUGUGAUGCACUAUGAAAAGGAAUCUGCUUCUCCUGGAAAAAGUUCUGUGCUUUGAAAUGAAGCUUUCCUGGAAUUUUCCACUUGCCCUUCAUGGCUUUCAGGUGGAGCCCCAUCAGGAGCAGCCUUCCUGGAAGUCAAAUGUGAUGCACUUUCUCACUAUACUGAAUGUCCUUAUGGAAGUUACUGGGAUGAAUCCCAGCAGGUACCAGGCUCUCACAAGCUGAAGGACAGAAAUGGCCAGUCAGCAGAUGGAGAGCAUUUUCACCAAGCAAUCCAAGCAGACCAGUAGAGUGCCUUCAAAACGUAAGCCCAGAGCUUAACAGUUAUAACUCAGGGAGACAUUUAAAGACUGUGGUUUCAACAGAAACAUAUAUCUGGGACUUCAUUUUGUCAUUAUACUUCCUGACAGCUCUUUGCUUUCCCUCAGCCAUAAUGAAUAGCUUUUCUUUAAGUUCAAUGAUGAUUAAGUCCCCUCCUCACUGCUAAUGACCCUUUUCUCUAAAAACAUGGAGCUUUUUAACAUCAUCAGGGUAUUUUAAUUCUUAUGAGACUUAAGCAGCUCCUCAUGUUUUUAACAAGUUAGAUCUAUUGAUCUGAUUUAAAAUAAAAAAAGUAUUUUCUAUUGCCU